Molecule: ribosomal RNA, 471 nt
Filed under: uncultured archaeon
Lineage: Archaea
Description: bacterial SSU rRNA
Rfam family: Archaeal small subunit ribosomal RNA
Source: RNAcentral
CCUAAUCGUUGGACUGCGGGAGAUACUGUCGGGCUAGGGGGCGGGAGAAGCCGAUGGUAUUCCCGGGGUAGGGGUGAAAUCCUAUAAUCCCGGGAGGACCACCAGUGGCGAAGGCGGUCGGCUAGAACGCGCUCGACGGUGAUGGACGAAAGCUGGGGGAGCGAACCGGAUUAGAUACCCGGGUAGUCCCAGCCGUAAACGAUGCGGGCUAGGUGUUGGGGAGGCUACGAGCCUCUUCAGUGCCGCAGCGAAAACGUUAAGCCCGCCGCCUGGGGAGUACGGCCGCAAGGCUGAAACUUAAAGGAAUUGGCGGGGGAGCACCACAAGGGGUGAAGCUUGCGGUUCAAUUGGAGUCAACGCCGGGAACCUUACCGGGGGCGACAGCAGGAUGAAGGCCAGAUUGAAGGUCUUACCAGACGAGCUGAGAGGAGGUGCAUGGCCGUCGCCAGUUCGUGCCGUGAGGUGUCCUGU